AACGAACGCUGGCGGCAGGCUUAACACAUGCAAGUCGAACGCCCCGCAAGGGGAGUGGCAGACGGGUGAGUAACGCGUGGGAACGUACCUUUCAGUUCGGAAUAACUCAGGGAAACUUGUGCUAAUACCGGAUACGCCCGCAAGGGGAAAGAUUUAUCGCUGAAAGAUCGGCCCGCGUUGGAUUAGCUAGUUGGUGGGGUAAAGGCCUACCAAGGCGACGAUCCAUAGCUGGUCUGAGAGGAUGAUCAGCCACACUGGGACUGAGACACGGCCCAGACUCCUACGGGAGGCAGCAGUGGGGAAUAUUGGACAAUGGGCGCAAGCCUGAUCCAGCCAUGCCGCGUGUGUGAUGAAGGCCUUAGGGUUGUAAAGCACUUUCACCGAUGAAGAUAAUGACGGUAGUCGGAGAAGAAGCCCCGGCUAACUUCGUGCCAGCAGCCGCGGUAAUGUCUGUACU
Molecule: ribosomal RNA, 457 nt
Filed under: uncultured bacterium
Lineage: Bacteria
Description: bacterial SSU rRNA
Rfam family: Bacterial small subunit ribosomal RNA
Source: RNAcentral